GAACACGUGUGCAACCUGCCUUUAUCUGGGGGAUAGCCUUUCGAAAGGGAGAUUAAUACCCCAUAAUAUAUCAGAUGGCAUCAUUUGAUAUUGAAAACUCCGGUGGAUAGAGAUGGGCACGCGCAAGAUUAGAUAGUUGGUGAGGUAACGGCUCACCAAGUCUACGAUCUUUAGGGGGCCUGAGAGGGUGAUCCCCCACACUGGUACUGAGACACGGACCAGACUCCUACGGGAGGCAGCAGUGAGGAAUAUUGGACAAUGGGUGAGAGCCUGAUCCAGCCAUCCCGCGUGAAGGACGACGGCCCUAUGGGUUGUAAACUUCUUUUGUAUAGGGAUAAACCUACCCUCGUGAGGGUAGCUGAAGGUACUAUACGAAUAAGCACCGGCUAACUCCGUGCCAGCAGCCGCGGUAAUACGGAGGGUGCAAGCGUUAUCCGGAUUUAUUGGGUUUAAAGGGUCCGUAGGCGGAUGUGUAAGUCAGUGGUGAAAUCUCACAGCUUAACUGUGAAACUGCCAUUGAUACUGCAUGUCUUGAGUGUUGUUGAAGUAGCUGGAAUAAGUAGUGUAGCGGUGAAAUGCAUAGAUAUUACUUAGAACACCAAUUGCGAAGGCAGGUUACUAAGCAACAACUGACGCUGAUGGACGAAAGCGUGGGGAGCGAACAGGAUUAGAUACCCUGGUAGUCCACGCCGUAAACGAU
RNAcentral lists this ribosomal RNA (700 nucleotides) under Chryseobacterium sp. Its description in RNAcentral is "bacterial SSU rRNA". It matches the Rfam family "Bacterial small subunit ribosomal RNA", at positions 111 to 810 of the family's 1533-position model. The record is from RNAcentral. Lineage: Bacteria; Pseudomonadati; Bacteroidota; Flavobacteriia; Flavobacteriales; Weeksellaceae.